CUCAGAGCUCAUGUGGGCAAAGCGCUGCAGUCUUUGCCUAAAAACCCUUAUUUCUUCCUUUUUCCAUCUGGAUUUCUUAGAUAUUAUGGUAAUGUUAACUCGAAACAUGAUGGGGCAAUACAUGAAACUGAACNNNNNNGCGAAAGAUUACUUAGACCGUUUGACCUCAAAGAGCUUCGAAAGUCUUUUAAUCAAAUCAC
This 200-nucleotide unclassified non-coding RNA is filed under the name Hevea brasiliensis (rubber tree). Lineage: Eukaryota; Viridiplantae; Streptophyta; Magnoliopsida; Malpighiales; Euphorbiaceae. The record is from RNAcentral.